UCAAUGUAACAAAAAACAUUG
Molecule: non-coding RNA, 21 nt
Filed under: Caenorhabditis elegans
Lineage: Eukaryota; Metazoa; Nematoda; Chromadorea; Rhabditida; Rhabditidae
Source: RNAcentral